This 443-nucleotide ribosomal RNA is filed under the name uncultured bacterium. RNAcentral describes it as "partial 16S ribosomal RNA". It matches the Rfam family "Bacterial small subunit ribosomal RNA", at positions 338 to 795 of the family's 1533-position model. The record is from RNAcentral.
CCUACGGGUGGCAGCAGUGGGGAAUAUUGGGCAAUGGGCGCAAGCCUGACCCAGCAACGCAGCGUGAAGGAUGAAGGCUCUCGGGUUGUAAACUUCUUUUUUCAGGGACGUAGCAAGUGACGGUACCUGAGGUAUAAGCCACGGCUAACUACGUGCCAGCAGCCGCGGUAAUACGUAGGUGGCAAGCGUUAUCCGGAUUUACUGGGUGUAAAGGGCGUGUAGGCGGGGACGCAAGUCAGAUGUGAAAACCACGGGCUCAACCUGUGGCCUGCAUUUGAAACUGUGUGUCUUGAGUACUGGAGAGGCAGACGGAAUUCCUGGUGUAGCGGUGAAAUGCGUAGAUAUUAGGAGGAACACCAGUGGCGAAGGCAGUCUGCUGGACAGCAACUGACGCUGAGGCGCGAAAGCGUGGGGAGCAAACAGGAUUAGAUACCCUUGUAGUC